CCUACGGGUGGCAGCAGUAGGGAAUAUUGCACAAUGGGGGAAACCCUGAUGCAGCAACGCCGCGUGAGUGAAGAAGGAUUUCGGUAUGUAAAGCUCUAUCGGCAGGGAAGAUAAUGACGGUACCUGACUAAUAAGCCCCGGCUAACUCCGUGCCAGCAGCCGCGGUAAUACGUAGGGGGCAAGCGUUAUCCGGAUUUACUGGGUGUAAAGGGUGCGUAGGUGGCAGGGCAAGUCAGAUGUGAAAGCCCGGGGCCCAACCCCGGUACUGCAUUUGAAACUGUCAGGCUGGAGUGCAGGAGAGGUAAGCGGAAUUCUUGGUGUAGCGGUGAAAUGCGUAGAGAUCAGGAGGAAUACUAGUGGCGAAGGCGGCUUACUGGAAUGUAACUGACACUGAGGCACGAAAGCGUGGGGAGCAAACAGGAUUAGAUACCCGAGUAGUC
RNAcentral lists this ribosomal RNA (440 nucleotides) under uncultured bacterium. RNAcentral's name for it is "partial 16S ribosomal RNA". It matches the Rfam family "Bacterial small subunit ribosomal RNA", at positions 338 to 795 of the family's 1533-position model. The record is from RNAcentral.